CCCUUAGAUGUUCUGGGCGGCCCGCGCACUACAAUGGCGCUUUCAGCGAGUUCCUAUGUUGAAUUUUCCUUGGUAUUCUUGGAAGCGGCGUCUUGACUUGGGAUAGAUCCUUGUAAUUGUUGGUUUUGAACGAGGAAUUCCUUGUAAUCGCGGUUGAUCAGCUCGCGUUGAAUACGUCCCUGCCCUUUGUACACACCGCCCGUCGCUCCUACCGAUGAAUCGUCCGGUGAGGCUUUGGGAUCUGAGCGGAAAGAGCGUUUCGCUGUUUCUGCUCGGAAAACUCAGUCGAACCUUAUCAUUUAGAGGAAGGAGAAGUCGUAACA
RNAcentral lists this ribosomal RNA (323 nucleotides) under uncultured eukaryote. RNAcentral's name for it is "partial 18S ribosomal RNA". It matches the Rfam family "Eukaryotic small subunit ribosomal RNA", at positions 1470 to 1796 of the family's 1831-position model. The record is from RNAcentral.